GACGAACGCUGGCGGCGUGCCUAAUACAUGCAAGUAGAACGCUGAAGAGAGGAGCUUGCUCUUCUUGGAUGAGUUGCGAACGGGUGGGUAACGCGUAGGUAACCUGCCUUGUAGCGGGGGAUAACUAUUGGAAACGAUAGCUAAUACCGCAUAACAAUGGAUGACACAUGUCAUUUAUUUGAAAGGGGCAAUUGCUCCACUACAAGAUGGACCUGCGUUGUAUUAGCUAGUAGGUGAGGUAACGGCUCACCUAGGCGACGAUACAUAGCCGACCUGAGAGGGUGAUCGGCCACACUGGGACUGAGACACGGCCCAGACUCCUACGGGAGGCAGCAGUAGGGAAUCUUCGGCAAUGGGGGCAACCCUGACCGAGCAACGCCGCGUGAGUGAAGAAGGUUUUCGGAUCGUAAAGCUCUGUUGUAAGUCAAGAACGAGUGUGAGAGUGGAAAGUUCACACUGUGACGGUAGCUUACCAGAAAGGGACGGCUAACUACGUGCCAGCAGCCGCGGUAAUACGUAGGUCCCGAGCGUUGUCCGGAUUUAUUGGGCGUAAAGCGAGCGCAGGCGGUUUGAUAAGUCUGAAGUUAAAGGCUGUGGCUCAACCAUAGUUCGCUUUGGAAACUGUCAAACUUGAGUGCAGAAGGGGAGAGUGGAAUUCCAUGUGUAGCGGUGAAAUGCGUAGAUAUAUGGAGGAACACCGGUGGCGAAAGCGGCUCUCUGGUCUGUAACUGACGCUGAGGCUCGAAAGCGUGGGGAGCGAACAGGAUUAGAUACCCUGGUAGUCCACGCCGUAAACGAUGAGUGCUAGGUGUUGGAUCCUUUCCGGGAUUCAGUGCCGCAGCUAACGCAUUAAGCACUCCGCCUGGGGAGUACGACCGCAAGGUUGAAACUCAAAGGAAUUGACGGGGGCCCGCACAAGCGGUGGAGCAUGUGGUUUAAUUCGAAGCAACGCGAAGAACCUUACCAGGUCUUGACAUCCCGAUGCUAUUUCUAGAGAUAGAAAGUUACUUCGGUACAUCGGUGACAGGUGGUGCAUGGUUGUCGUCAGCUCGUGUCGUGAGAUGUUGGGUUAAGUCCCGCAACGAGCGCAACCCCUAUUGUUAGUUGCCAUCAUUCAGUUGGGCACUCUAGCGAGACUGCCGGUAAUAAACCGGAGGAAGGUGGGGAUGACGUCAAAUCAUCAUGCCCCUUAUGACCUGGGCUACACACGUGCUACAAUGGUUGGUACAACGAGUUGCGAGUCGGUGACGGCAAGCUAAUCUCUUAAAGCCAAUCUCAGUUCGGAUUGUAGGCUGCAACUCGCCUACAUGAAGUCGGAAUCGCUAGUAAUCGCGGAUCAGCACGCCGCGGUGAAUACGUUCCCGGGCCU
This 1369-nucleotide ribosomal RNA is filed under the name uncultured bacterium. RNAcentral describes it as "bacterial SSU rRNA". It matches the Rfam family "Bacterial small subunit ribosomal RNA", at positions 28 to 1381 of the family's 1533-position model. The record is from RNAcentral.